RNAcentral lists this transfer RNA (73 nucleotides) under Heliconius melpomene (postman butterfly). RNAcentral describes it as "tRNA HMEL016001". The record is from RNAcentral. Lineage: Eukaryota; Metazoa; Arthropoda; Insecta; Lepidoptera; Nymphalidae.
GAACGUAUGGCUUAGUUGGUCGGACCGCUUGGACGGUUUCCCUGAGGCGCGGCUUCAAAUCUCGCUACGUUCA